This is a non-coding RNA of Callithrix jacchus (white-tufted-ear marmoset), 376 nucleotides long. NCBI's taxonomy places the organism in Eukaryota, Metazoa, Chordata, Mammalia, Primates, Cebidae. The record is from RefSeq and is a predicted model, not a curated record.
AGUGCUGGAGCCCCGGUCCACGCACACCUAAAGUAGUCAGCGAGCUCCACAGUCCAAAAGUCCGGCCGGCCUUUCCCCACCCCCGAACAUGGCUGUCGAGCAGAGCCUCCAGUUCUCUCUCUUCUCCCAUUCCCCUGUGGAUCGUUUUCCCCUGUGGAUACGAUGUUCUUUUCUCCCUAGCAAAGUAGAGAAGAGCACUGAGCGUCCCAUCAGAAAUCCUUCAAUGUGCUGUCUGUGCUAUGUGGAUGCGUUCUCCAGCGAACCAUGUUCUUUCUCCAUUUCACAGCUUAGUUUUUGAAAAAACUGAAAAAUUACCAGCAUAUGGAAAUUUUAAGGCAUUCUUUUUAUGAAGAUUAAAAAAACCUUAAGCAUUUAA